This 106-nucleotide ribosomal RNA is filed under the name Pseudaquabacterium pictum. Lineage: Bacteria; Pseudomonadati; Pseudomonadota; Betaproteobacteria; Burkholderiales; Sphaerotilaceae. The record is from RNAcentral.
GAUGACCAUAGCGAGGUGGUCCCACUCCUUCCCAUCCCGAACAGGACAGUGAAACGCCUCUGCGCCAAUGAUAGUGCGGGUUCCCGUGUGAAAGUAGGACAUCGUC